RNAcentral lists this ribosomal RNA (253 nucleotides) under uncultured bacterium. Its description in RNAcentral is "partial 16S ribosomal RNA". It matches the Rfam family "Bacterial small subunit ribosomal RNA", at positions 524 to 776 of the family's 1533-position model. The record is from RNAcentral.
UACGGGGGGGGCAAGCGUUGUUCGGAAUUACUGGGCGUAAAGGGCUCGUAGGCGGCCAACUAAGUCAGACGUGAAAUCCCUCGGCUUAACCGGGGAACUGCGUCUGAUACUGGUUGGCUUGAAUCCGGGGGAGGGAUGUGGAAUUCCAGGUGUAGCGGUGAAAUGCGUAGAUAUCUGGAGGAACACCGGUGGCGAAGGCGGCAUCCUGGACCGGUAUUGACGCUGAGGAGCGAAAGCCAGGGGAGCAAACGGG